RNAcentral lists this microRNA precursor (101 nucleotides) under Marmota monax (woodchuck). Lineage: Eukaryota; Metazoa; Chordata; Mammalia; Rodentia; Sciuridae. The record is from RNAcentral.
CUGCGCGUCACCUGGGGACCUUGUUAACAUGCGGACUCAGAUUCAGAGGGGCUGGGUGCCGGAGCCGCUGCGUUUUUAACAAGCUCCCAGAUGGUGCCCUC